GAAAAGGCUAAGGCUAGAUUCUGGAUCAAGUUCGGAGAAGAUAAGAACUCAGAAUUUCAUCAAAUAUUUCACAAGAUUGGAGAAGAGCAAGUCAAGGCAACUGAAAAUGCCAAAAAAAUCCUAAAAAUUAUAGAGGAACAAGGUCUUGGAGAUAAAAAGUUUUUUAGUGGGGAUACGAUUGGUUUAAUUGACAUAGCCUUUGGGUGGCUUGCUUUCUGGCUAGAAGUCAUACAAGAAGCUGCUGGAGUAAAGGUCUAUGAACCAAACAAUUUUCCUCAUUUACAAUCUUGGAUUAACAAUUUCAAACAAGUAGCUAUCAUCAAAGAAAAUAUCCCAAAUCGAAAUGCAAUGCUAGAUUAUUUCAAACUUCGUAGAGAUAUGAUUGUUGCAUUAUGAUCACUUCAAUGUUGAUGAUGGCUUUAUAUAUAUUGAAUAAGAUGUAGUUUGGUUAUGUGGUGUUACGAACAGAAGGAAUACAUGUACAAUAUUAAAUUUACUCUUACUUUAGUAUCAUUCAUUAUAUAUUGAACGAA
RNAcentral lists this unclassified non-coding RNA (533 nucleotides) under Hevea brasiliensis (rubber tree). Lineage: Eukaryota; Viridiplantae; Streptophyta; Magnoliopsida; Malpighiales; Euphorbiaceae. The record is from RNAcentral.